GGAAUUAAAUAAUUAUUAACUUAAUACUUUGUAGUUUCUUCUGUUAAUUGAUAAUUUGUGUUAAACGUUUACAUUUACAAAGCUAGUGUUUUUGGCUAUUCACUUUGUAACAUUUAUAUAAUUUUUCAGAUAUUUAAAUGCACUUUUAGAUUGUUAUAUACUUAUAAAAUUAUAUUAAAAUUAUGGCUGUUCCGAAUGAGUUAAGUUUGGAAUCCGUCCGUGAUUUCAUGAUCAUGAACGAUGGAAAAGUUACUAAUCAUGAUCUAGUGACUCAUUUUAAACAUUUUCUAACAAAUCCACAAAACAGAGCUGAAGCAAGACUUAAGUUUAAAGAAAUUGUAAACACUGUGGCUACCGUUAUCUGUGGAGAAGAUGGGGAAAAGUAUUUAAUGCUUAAACGUCGCUUUCGAGUGGCUGGUUGUAUUGGUUUAUCAUUAGAACCCUCCAUGAGCACAGCUUCUUCUCUAACUUCACUUACUUCUUAUCCUGGAUUAUCUUCUGUACAUCAUUCAUUAUCACAAGAUUCUCUUAUUGACCCUCCUAGAUUUCAACAAAGAUCUCCAAUGGUAUCACCAUCGGCUAGACAACCCCCACCUUAUCGUCCACCACCUUCUCCUAUUGCAUCGCCUAAAGAAUGUUCACCAACUAAAGAAGCCGCACCACCUGUUCCUCCUAGGCGUAGAAGUUCUGAGAAAAUUAAAUUGAUUGAAUUAAAUGAUAAUGUUAUAGUAAAUUCUAAGGAUAAUUAUAAAGAGAAUGAACAACCUCAGCAGCCUCAGAUAAGCGUAAAGGAUCGAACCCAAAAAUUCAACCGGAUAGCAUCUGAAAAUGCCUUGCAUUUAGCUAGUCAACUACCGUCACCAAAUAAGAAAAAAAUAGAAAAGAACGAUAAAGACGAAGAAGACACUAUUUCUAUGACAUCGUUGGAUCCUAAGACUAAAGAAUGGGUCGUCAAAUCAGCAAAAUGUGACUAUCAAGCUUUAGCAAAACUUGCAUCUGAAAAUUCUGGAAUUGCAAAGUUCAAGGACCCUAUCACUAGCUAUACGGCGUUACACUGGGCGGCGAAACACGGCAACAUGGACCUGGUGAAAAUGCUGGCCGGCACGUAUAGCGUCAACGUCAACGCUAAAACGAAUGGAGGUUACACGCCAUGUCACUUGGCAUUACAGUUCGGACACGAAGAGAUUUACAAGAUACUGGUCGAAUCGUACGGAGCCGACCCGAACGUGCGGGACUACAGCGGACGCAAGCCCAGGCAGUACCAGACGAACCAGGACACGAGCCUGUCGGCGGACACGUAUCGCAGGCUGUUGGACGCGGAAAGAACUAAACGCCCGAAAACACAAACACAUGGAAAAGGAUCUAAGAUUCCUGCGGAUCGGGUCCCUGAACGUGCGCGUUAAACGGACCACAGAGGCGUUCAGCAACUUCCUGGGCGUCGGACACAACGCAGAGAAGAUUCACAAGACUUGGGGUUCUGCCGACAACAUACAACAGAACGACGCCAAGAGAAUGCCUCCUCCGAAAAGCGUUACGAUUAAGAAAAGGAAGUCCAAACGGCCGCAAGACUUUUUGAGGAGAGCCUCGGCCCCGGCCGACCGAUCGCCAGACAAGAGGAAAUCCGCGGAAAUCG
This 1633-nucleotide unclassified non-coding RNA is filed under the name Rhopalosiphum maidis (corn leaf aphid). RNAcentral describes it as "ankyrin repeat domain-containing protein SOWAHB, transcript variant X2". The record is from RNAcentral. Lineage: Eukaryota; Metazoa; Arthropoda; Insecta; Hemiptera; Aphididae.